RNAcentral lists this transfer RNA (81 nucleotides) under Halomonas sp. HAL1. RNAcentral describes it as "tRNA-OTHER". It matches the Rfam family "tRNA". Rfam says of the family: Transfer RNA (tRNA) molecules are approximately 80 nucleotides in length. Their secondary structure includes four short double-helical elements and three loops (D, anti-codon, and T loops). The record is from RNAcentral. Lineage: Bacteria; Pseudomonadati; Pseudomonadota; Gammaproteobacteria; Oceanospirillales; Halomonadaceae.
GCGUCUAUAGCUCAGAAGGGUGAGAGCGCACAUUAGGCUUGUACUAAUGUGAGGUCGCUGGUUCGAGUCCAGCUAGGCAAA